This 33-nucleotide transfer RNA is filed under the name Atherinella brasiliensis (Brazilian silversides). RNAcentral describes it as "partial tRNA-Phe". Lineage: Eukaryota; Metazoa; Chordata; Actinopteri; Atheriniformes; Atherinopsidae. The record is from RNAcentral.
GCUAACGUAGCUUAACUAAAGCAUAACACUGAA